This 468-nucleotide ribosomal RNA is filed under the name uncultured bacterium. RNAcentral describes it as "partial 16S ribosomal RNA". It matches the Rfam family "Bacterial small subunit ribosomal RNA", at positions 28 to 507 of the family's 1533-position model. The record is from RNAcentral.
GACGAACGCUGGCGGCGUGCUUAACACAUGCAAGUCGAACGGAAAGACCCUGCUUUUGUGGGGUGCUCGAGUGGCGAACGGGUGAGUAACACGUGAGUAACCUGCCCUUGACUGUGGGAUAACUUCAGGAAACUGGGGCUAAUACCGGAUAGGAGCUCCUGCUGCAUGGUGGGGGUUGGAAAGUUUCGGCGGUUGGGGAUGGACUCGCGGCUUAUCAGCUUGUUGGUGGGGUAGUGGCUUACCAAGGCUUUGACGGGUAGCCGGCCUGAGAGGGUGGCCGGCCACAUGGGGACUGAGAUACGGCCCAGUCUCCUACGGGAGGCAGUAGUGGGGAAUAUUGCACAAUGGGCGGAAGCCUGUUGCAGCAACGCCGCGUGCGGGAUGACGGCCUUCGGGUUGUAAACCGCUUUCGCCUGUGACGAAGCGUGAGUGACGGUAAUGAGUAAAGAAGCCCCGGCUAACUACGUG